AUAAUGUAUGUGAGCAAGGGAAUCGGCAAAAUGGAUGAAAAACCUCGGGAUAAUCAUUGGCUCUAGCAUGCUAGAACUGGGCUUACAAGGGGAAUCUGACUGUUUAAUAAAAACAUAGCUUUGUGUGUACGCAAAGUGAAUUCUGCCCAGUGCUUGGGACGUUAAGGAAGUAAUUUUAAGUACGCACCUGUAAACGGCGGGAGUAACUAUGACUCUCUUAAGGUAGCCAAAUGCCUCGUCGCCUAAUUAGCGACGCGCAUGAAUGGAGCAACGAGAUUCCCACUGUCCCUGCUCACAGAUUUGCGAACCUACAGCCAAGGGAACGGGCUUGGGACAUGCAGCGGGGAAAGAAGACCCUGUUGAGCUUGACUCUAGCCAAGCACAGGCCUCUGUGACUAUAUCGUAGCGAGGUGGGAGAAAUGUGUGAGACCACUGACAUAGUCGGCGGGGGCACUCGCAAAGCUUGGUGGGGAGUUUGGCUGGGGCGGCACGACUACUAAAACAUAACGUAGACGUCCAAAGGUAAGCUCCGAGGGGAUGGAAACCACUCCGAGAGUAUAAGGGCAAAAGCUUGCUUUAGUUAUUAAUGUAAAUUAAUAAUACUGGAAACAGGGGCCUAGAGAUCCUCUAUGAAACUAAGCAUAGAGGUGACGGAAAAGAUGCCACAGGGAUAACUGGCUUGUGGCGGCCGAGCGUCCAUAGCGACGCCGCUUUUGAUCUCGAGA
RNAcentral lists this non-coding RNA (725 nucleotides) under Enterocytozoon bieneusi H348. RNAcentral's name for it is "Eukaryotic large subunit ribosomal RNA". It matches the Rfam family "Eukaryotic large subunit ribosomal RNA", at positions 1890 to 2881 of the family's 3401-position model. The record is from Rfam by way of RNAcentral. Lineage: Eukaryota; Fungi; Microsporidia; Enterocytozoonidae.